Entelurus aequoreus (snake pipefish) is the source of this 429-nucleotide long non-coding RNA. RefSeq lists it as uncharacterized. The record is from RefSeq and is a predicted model, not a curated record. The transcript has 5 exons. Lineage: Eukaryota; Metazoa; Chordata; Actinopteri; Syngnathiformes; Syngnathidae.
AAACUAUUUUCUAAGAAUGGUUGCUCUGCAGCCAAUCAGAGGCGCUUCCUCCAGUUCUUCUCUUUGUAUAUAAAGCCUGACCACGAACAAGCCAUAUUAUUCUCUAUAAAAACAACACAAAGAAGAAAAGAUCAUGGGAAACGGCCCGUCUUCUGUUCCGACAGGAACCCCAUCAGGUGUAAUGACGUUUGCAUCUCCUGCUGGUGCGACAAUUGGUUAUCCCGAUCCAAGCCCUACUCCCCUCAGCACUGGUCUCACACUCGCACCGGGUCCAUCACCAAGCAGUGGUUUUAGUCCACCGCCAAGUGGUGGUCUACCACCAAGUGGUGGUCCACCACCGAUGAUGUAACCAAGGUUUUCCCCUUGAAGUCGUUAUGGUUUGUGAAGCCCUUUACGGGCUGUAAUAAUAAAUUUGGAUUGAUUGAUGAA